CNUUUUUAUAUCAUCUGCUCAUGAAACUUAAAUAGCCGCAAAAUAUAUUUUGUGCUAAGGUAGCAUAAUCAUUCGUUUUUUAAUUGAAAACCAGAACAAACGAUUAAACAUUUUAAUAAAUAUCUAAAAUUUAAAAAUAACUUUUCCUUAAUGUAAAAAGACAUUAAUAUAUUAGAAAGACGAUAAGACCCUAUUGAACUUUACUAAAGUUUAACUGGGGCAGUUAAUUAAUUUACAUUUUAAUAAAUAUAAUUAUAAAAAUGACCUAAUAAAAUUAAAUAACUAAUUAAGUUACCAUAGGGAUAACAGCGUAAUGAUUAUUUAUAGUACAUAUUAAAAUAAAAGAUUACGACCUCGAUGUUGAAUUAAUUUCCUAAAUUUAAGCAAUAUUAAUAACAAGGAAGUCUGUUCGACUUUUAAAAAAUUACAUGAUCUGAGCAAAANCCCGGGAGA
RNAcentral lists this ribosomal RNA (453 nucleotides) under Gnaphosa kompirensis. Its description in RNAcentral is "partial 16S ribosomal RNA". Lineage: Eukaryota; Metazoa; Arthropoda; Arachnida; Araneae; Gnaphosidae. The record is from RNAcentral.